CUGGAUCUCAAUCUGUGUGCUCUUCUGCUGCCGCUGCCACUGGAGCCGCCGCUGCUGUCUAGUGCUUCCUACUGCUCCAUAUACACACGCAUACAUAUCUCUUUUUUUUUUCUUUCCCCUCCACGCCUCGCGUCACCGCCACUGGAGCCGCCGUCGCUGCUGCCACGGCUACAUCGCCUUUUUAUUUUACUUGAGGUGCGCACGCUUCGUCUGUUACUCCUUCUUGCUGGGAUCGGGUGUCGGCGCCGCCGUCGACACGUCGCGCAUCCCUCGCUGCUGUAUCUCCUUCUUGCUCCUACGCGUGCUUUCCAUCGCACAUGCAUAGGCGUACGCACGCGGCGCUCGCGGCCUCUUCAACGAACAAGCGCUGCGCGAGACCGGUGAACGGACGAACGUCUUGUCUCGCUCACCAUCGAUCAGCUCGGCCCAAUCCCUUUUCUAGGGCAAGGGGCGGUGUGGGCUCCGUGUCUCUGCCUUUCGCUGUCUGUGCGCGCUGUCGUCCUCGGCUGUCGUGACGACGAGCCUGUCGGCCCCCCGCACUCCGUUGCACCGUGUCACCACCACCACCCACCACCGUCAACGCCACCGCUGCUGCUGCUGCUGCUGCUGCCGUCGUCGUCGUAGCAGCCUCUCCGGCACCUGCGUCGGCGCUUAAGCUAUGCUUGCCUCCUUUCCCCUCCGCGCACACACGCACACACACGCACGCGUGCAUCCGCCGUUGCUUCCCCGUUGUCAACUUUUCAUUGCCGUCUUCUUGUGUCUGUUUCGACGGCGAGAGAGCGUGCGUGCGCGCUUGAGGUGAGGUGAGGACGUCGCUGCGGGCCUGCGUGUGUGCUCACAGAUCGAUUAUAUACGGCACACACACACACACGCACACGCACAAGGAGAGGGGAGGGUAGGGCUCAUCCGCGAUGUCGGCAUCGCCCUUCUCUGCCUUUAACGGCUUCCACGGCAAUGAUGACGAUGAUGGCAUCACGGCACUCAGCCAAGUGCGCCAGGCGCUCGCGGAGCGGCGACGGAUUCGCUCUGGCGUUUUCGCUGGCGCCGUCGACCCUGCGGCAGCAGCGUCGGCGUCGCCACCCUUGUUGGGCGAGGCGCGCAAGGACACCAGUCAUGAACCCUCCCUCCGUGUGGACCGCGGCGACGAGAACAGCGCUGACUGUCAACGCAGACAAGCGCCUGACUUUCACAAGCAGCACCGCGAGCGACGGUCGCCAUCUGCGCCAGACGCCUUCCUCUCGUGCGUGGAAGACGGAAAACUGCUGUCGGUGAGCUCGUUGCCAUCUCCGCUGGCGCGGGCGACGUCGGCAUCGCCGCCGAUAUCGAAAUCAUCGGCGCCGGUGUUGGGGGCGUUGCCCCCGUCGCCUUCGCCGCGCCACAUCUCGUACUACGGGGGCUUCCUGACCCACACGCUGGACGCGCACGACCUUGCGGUGGCCGUGUUCCCAAAGUCGAGCUACACGGACGCCCUGCCGCUGCCGAUGUCGGCGCCGCGGACGGAUAAUGAGUCGUCAGUGGCGGCAACGGAUCAGAGCAGCGCGCGCGGCCGCCGAGAGAGGCCCGCCGCCAGCGGGCGGUCCAGCGCAGCCUUCGACAAAACUCUCGCGGAGGCGAUGGUGUCGACGGUGGAGCGCAUGCGCGAGAAUGAGAAACGACGCGGCAGCUCCGCGCAGCCGCAGCAGCCGUUGCGGCGCGACUCGCUCUCGACAAACACCACGAUCGGCAGCACCGCUUUUGCCAGCAGCCACAGCCGUGGCGGUGCACCCGCGUUGACGGCGGCGUUGCGCGGCAGCCACAGGCCUGGACUUCCAACGACGCCCAUUACGAGACGCGCCAUGGCGGCCUUCGGCCACACCACUGCCGACGUCCUCAAUGUCGCGGAUGACAACGACAGCGUUGGCCUUCACCACGCGACGGCGAGAGUGUCGCCGCAACACCACAGCCCCAACGCCGGCGACACAGACGUGUACGCAGGCGAUUUCCGCGGCUCACCGAUGGCAGCCCUCACGCGCCCGGCGUCUUCGUCCGCGGCUGCCUCGCAGCACUGUCUGUGCACCUCAGGCACGCCAGAGUCGUCGUCAGCGCCACUGCGGAUAACGGCGCCCCGCGACAAGGAGCGCGCUGCGGCUGCGCGCAACCCGGACGCGCGAUCACGGCAGUCGUCAACGUCGCCCACAGCGCUGUCCGUUUUGUGGAACAUAACCGGGCAGCCCGUGAGCCGCGACUGGGUUCGUGGCCUUUCCGCCACAGCGAGUGGCCGCAGCGGAAGCACGAUGAUGACGGUCAGCAGCGGCACUGCGGACGUGGCAGUGCCGCAGGUUGCUGCAAAGGACGCCGCCCCACAGCUGUCGUAUCACCAGCUCACCGAGGCCUUCUACGGCAGCUACAAGGGUGGCGAGAUGGCGCAGGACGCGUACCUGUACUUCGUUGCUCAGCAGCAGCAGCAGCAGCAGCCCGAGGGAAGCAGUGGCAGCACAAAGUCACGCCAUGGCAGCAAGCACGAGCGAUCGAGGCCCUCGGCCGCGAUGACGACGACGCCGACACACACCGCUGCAAGAGCUCGGGGUGGGUGCGCGGUACAGCGGGUUUUCGUAUCAGGACAGUCGGAGAGCCAGCCAGGAAUGACCUCGCAAGCCUCAACGACCUCCCUCACAGCCGCCGCUGAAACCCACGCCGCUCCGGCGCAGCUGGAACCGCGCUUCAUUUCCACCGAUACCCCACUUUCGACGUUGCGGAGGAGCUCCGAUGCCGCAGCAGCAGCAGCAGAGCGGCAGCACCCCCAUUCACAGUCCGAGACACGGUCGAGAAGCGCCAGCCUUGUCAGCGUCCACAGCAGCAACGACGGCGGUUGUCACAGUAGCGGCAGUCGUGGUAAUGGGCACGGUGCCUCCUCGCCGUCGUCUCCGCUGAGGCUGUCGGUUACCGCGAGGGCGGUAACAGCAGCGACAACCGCAGCGAGGGGCGCUGUGAGGGAGCCUGUCGACGUCGGGAGAGUUCAGCCGCAGCAGCAGCAGCAGCCAUGGAAGACCUCGACAAGCAAGAAGAGGUCCACUGCUGUAGCGGUGGCGCAUGCUGCACCUAGCCAGCGUCGCGGCUCUGGAAGGUCGUCGUUCUCGAUGGAUGCGGAGCCGAGGGAUAUCGAGGUGGACCAGAUCAGUGAGCCACCAUCGGCUGCAGCGUCGUCAUCAGCCACAGCGGCGACAGAAACCGCAACAGCGACUGACCGCAUCCGGAACCUGCUGCACAAGUCGGUGUCCAUCUACCAAGAGGCGCAGCAACAGCAGUCGGAGCCGCAUGAGGGCCCUCCAGAUGCGUGAGGGAGUUGUUCGUGACGUUCUAGCCACCCGAGGAGCGGGUGACAGGUGCCUCCGAAGGACAGGGAUGAGCCUCCCAGACUCCGACACCGUUGACUACCAGCGUGGCUUGGUUCGCUGCUGUCGCUCCGGUGCGCGCGCCCGCUCAUCCAACGCGGUAUCGUCCUCGAUCCUACAGACAGUCGCACGCGCGGAUGGGGAGUGAGGGGAGGGGGCCGUGCCACCCACACCACCUCACCACGCCGCGGCGAACAGCGUCGCCCUUCGAUGCAUAUUAUAAUACGCGUUUGCCACUCCCUUGCUCGGCGCACACACACCUCACACCCCCUCCACCCCCGGCAACGGCCAUCGGACACGCGCUCACGCAGGGCAGACGCGCGCGCCCCCCCCUCAUCCUCCUCUUUUCUCUGUCGACGCUCAGAACGGGCACCGGCGAAACGAUGCGCGGUUGGGGGGAGGACCGCCGGCCACCAACACGGACCACAGGCACACACACGCAUAUAUAUAUAUAUAUAUAUUUACAUGCGUGUGUGUGCAUGUGUGUGUACGGGCCUCUUAAGCCAGUGAUGCGGUGCCUCCGUGAGUCGAUGGCGCCUCCAUCCCCCUACUCGCUCUCGGUUUGGGGUCACUGCAUCGAAGUUCGUUGCUCUUCUUCAGCCGUCUCGCUACGGCACAGAUGACGGGGUGGGGCGGCGGCGCACACACACACACACACACACGCACACGCCUCCGUGCGUGGGGGGGGGGGGGUGCCUCAGGCGCCAGGGCGCCCACCCACCCACCCACCCCUCACUCCUCCCUCCGCCGUCCCGGCCCAUGCCAGAACCACCUGUGGUGGCGACCAGGGCCGAGCAUCUGUGACGUCAGGGAGUGCCCCGGCAGAGCGCGAGUUAGGGCUACGGACGUCAGCGGCCAUGUCGUGCAUGGCGUUGCGUCGGGGCCACACGCGACAGUGAGCGCAGGUUUGCACCGUCCAUAUGAUGGGCAGAGCGUGUCAGCGCGGCUCGAGCGCAUCGCGGCCGGCCCCUCACACUGGCCUACCCGGGGGGGGGGGGGGGAGGGGGCCUGUGAAAGGGUUAUUGAGGGCUGGCGUAGAGUCGGCGUUGGCGUGAUGGGAUGACCUCACGUUGCGAGGAAGAGGAAGAGGAGACGAGACGAGACGUUGUCUGGUCGACUUUGCGGGCGCGCGCGCAGGCACAAGUAUGCAUAUCCCUAUGCAUCUAGCUAUCUAUCUCACUGAACUCCCAGUGCGCGCGAGAGAGAGGGGGUGGGACGGGCUCGUGAUGCCGUUGCGUGCGUCUCUCUGCUUCUCUACCUCUGCGGUCACGGAGGCCCACACACACACACACACACACACACACGCACGCGCACUUUAUUCAUCGCCGUCGUCCAAUUCUGCUCUCUGCACCUUGUGCAAGGGCGCAUGUGUCUGCCGGCAUCUGCGUCGCGCGGGUCUGCAGCACAGGCGGACAGCGACUCGGUCCUCAGGACCCUCCCCCCCUUUUUUCGAUAUACGGCACCGUGACCCGUUGCACGCGGAGACGCGUGGGCCAGAUGCGCUGUCGCCGGACGUGGAUGGAUCAAGCAGUAAGCGUCUCUACUCCGCGCCCUCGCCCCUUCAAACCUGUCCUUGUCCACCCAUCUCCUCUCUCGCUCCGCUGCUUGCACGCUCAUCAUGGGUGCCGGUUGUGGGCGGUCGCCACAUCAAUCCUCACACACACACACACACACGCAUGUAUACACGUGUGUGUGUGCGCGCGCGUGCGUGCGUGCCGUCCCCUUCGCGGCAG
This 5104-nucleotide unclassified non-coding RNA is filed under the name Leishmania donovani. RNAcentral describes it as "gene:LdHU3.01.0790(CDS-product:hypothetical_prote in_conserved)". The record is from RNAcentral. Lineage: Eukaryota; Euglenozoa; Kinetoplastea; Trypanosomatida; Trypanosomatidae.